UUGAAUUUAAAAAUAGUGAGAAAGCAUGGAAUUCAAUUCUUUCUCAUGUCUUGCAUAUUUGCACUCUGUAUCUUUUCACAUAAAGAAUUUUUGGAUAACGGAAUGUCAGCACUCCAUAAGGAAGAUGAAGCUAGCAAUUGAAAGAGAGCUUGGCACCAUUCAAAUUUCACGUAUCAUCUAACGGCGAAGGAACAAAAGCACAAGCGAUGAAAAAUAAAUUUCUGCGCAGAUGACUGAAUUACGAUGGAGCGCCACCAAGUCCUAAGCGCCUCAGCCGGCACAAACGCUGCCAAGUGCACGCGUUAGGAAUAUUUGCUCUAGCGAAUCGUGGUUGCCGCCAAAGAAUCUCGUUCUCGCCAUAGUCGCGGAAGAGUGAACUCUCCAACUUCUCGGCCAAGCUCACGUAUUGUGCAUGCACGUAUCCUUUGACAUAAUAUUGCUCCUCGUGCAAGAAGAGCUAGCUUUAAGGAGGGAAGCGGAGCCAAAAGAGACGCAACGCUACACUGCAGAUUUUUUACAACUCAACAUUAAAUGAAAAACU
Long non-coding RNA from Ceratosolen solmsi marchali, 541 nucleotides. RefSeq lists it as uncharacterized. Lineage: Eukaryota; Metazoa; Arthropoda; Insecta; Hymenoptera; Agaonidae. The transcript is spliced from 3 exons. The record is from RefSeq and is a predicted model, not a curated record.